CAGUGAUAAACUGGAGGAAGGUGGGGAUGACGUCAAGUCAUCAUGGCCCUUACGAGUAGGGCUACACACGUGCUACAAUGGCAUAUACAAAGAGAAGCGACCUCGCGAGAGCAAGCGGACCUCAUAAAGUAUGUCGUAGUCCGGAUUGGAGUCUGCAACUCGACUCCAUGAAGUCGGAAUCGCUAGUAAUCGUGGAUCAGAAUGCCACGGUGAAUACGUUCCCGGGCCUUGUACACACCGCCCGUCACACCAUGGGAGUGGGUUGCAAAAGAAGUA
Molecule: ribosomal RNA, 276 nt
Filed under: Citrobacter freundii
Lineage: Bacteria; Pseudomonadati; Pseudomonadota; Gammaproteobacteria; Enterobacterales; Enterobacteriaceae
Description: partial 16S ribosomal RNA
Rfam family: Bacterial small subunit ribosomal RNA
Source: RNAcentral